This 793-nucleotide long non-coding RNA is filed under the name Bemisia tabaci. Its description in RNAcentral is "lncRNA ENSSSA1NGG014554". The record is from RNAcentral. Lineage: Eukaryota; Metazoa; Arthropoda; Insecta; Hemiptera; Aleyrodidae.
UCUAGUGUCUCCGCAUUCCGGGCCAGUGGUUACGAUGUUCUUUGACGCGAAAGUCGUCUGUUUCCUGGUCUUUGUUAUUGUGACCGGGUCCGGGUUCGUGCUAGCGGCUGCCGCCGUCAGUCAUACCAACUUGCCGAAAGCUCUACCGCUAACCCGACCCGAAGUAAGCCCGGACGCUGUCGGUGAACCCAACUCGGAAGCCAGUCACCUCAGUGCUCAAUCCAGGGAUGCUGCUUAUUUCAUGCCGACGGGGAUAAGCGCUUUGGGCGCGUUGCUGUUCCUGAAGGUGAAGGCGGUGCUGGUGGUUCUGGUGGCGGUGAUAAUAAUCGGUCUCCUGAGCAAGGUGGCCGGGGGUUACGGGGGCGUCCACUGCGGCGGUGGCCCCAUGUGCCCGCAGAUUCCCCACUCGGCCGAGUACCCUCCCAGCGGGCACACUGCCUACAGAGAGGACUACUUCCCGCACUAUGAGCCCACUGCCACUGGGCCCUACUCCAGGAGCUCCGAGUCCCAAGGUGUCGUAUCCAGAAUGCUCAACACAGUUAAUGUGGUGGAUCUAGGGUUUGCCGUUUUGGAUAUUCCUAGUGAUGAGUGCCGGAGGAGACUUGUUUGUGAAAUGGACAAUUCUGCCAUUAGGCAUCCACCCCUGGCCUUCCUCCUCGAUACAUUUAGGGAAAAUUUGUCAAAAUACAGGGAAGAAACAACCACAGAUGGUAUGAGGAACUGCGGGAAACUCUAUGCCCACUGUGACACCUGGUUCCCACUCACUGUCGUGAAUGCAUCGAUGCCUGGAUGA